RNAcentral lists this long non-coding RNA (318 nucleotides) under Neodiprion pinetum (white pine sawfly). RNAcentral's name for it is "uncharacterized LOC124212729". Lineage: Eukaryota; Metazoa; Arthropoda; Insecta; Hymenoptera; Diprionidae. The record is from RNAcentral.
AAACAAUGGCAGUCGUAAUAAACUGAAUGCUGCAAACAGAAUUAUCUCAUAUUCCUUGUCUUAUGUACAGACGAAUCCUGUUGACAACUUGGCGACUGAGAUAGAGGCGUUAACCCGGAUCGUCAACCAGGACGAAAUGAUGGAUGAAAGUACAACGCGUCAACUUGGUGUUGCCUCGGACAGCGCGGAGAUCCCAAAAACUCCGAAUCCUACCCCGAACGAGAAUAAGAAGAGAAAAAAAAAUUGGCGAUGGUGGGAUAAAAAAAAGUCCAAGAAACAAAAAGAAAAAAAGUCCGCACCUGCGUCGGAUACUGCGCA